Brassica oleracea var. oleracea is the source of this 1977-nucleotide long non-coding RNA. RefSeq lists it as uncharacterized. The transcript is spliced from 3 exons. The record is from RefSeq and is a predicted model, not a curated record. Lineage: Eukaryota; Viridiplantae; Streptophyta; Magnoliopsida; Brassicales; Brassicaceae.
AGCCGAUCAAUUUUUAUAUUAACACCACGUUACCUCAACGGCUCAACCUAUCUCUUUUCGUCGAUAGAGAUUCUUUCAUUCCAUUGAAUUCGAUCUAUCUGUUGACCUUUCUUUCGGUGUAAUUGUAGUAUGUUGAUCUAAUUAUACUAUGUUUUUCUCCCAUCUAUACUUCUGCUCACAUAUCUAUUUAUGAAAAAGGCCGCUCAGCUUUCAGAUCAAAAUUGAAAAUACUCAUCGUUAAUUGACCAAUCAACUGCACUGUGAUUAGGGUUUCAGUUAUUCCUUAGCUAGGAGGGAUUUGGGUUUCAAUCGACACGAUGACAUCAAAUCUAAUGACUUCCUUGAAAUCUCAUGACAAGGAGAAGACCGUUGCUCCUCGGAAGAAUCAGUAAUACCUCCCAUGUCCUUUUUCAUCAAUCUGUAUAUUAACUUACGUUGUUUUUCAAAAGGGAGGACAAAUCAGAAGCAAAAUUAUAGAGAGGGAGAAUGAAACAAGGCGGAGUGAUGGAGCAGAGAUCAAACAUGUAGAGAUGGAUUCCGCUUGGAUCUCCAGGAUUAGGCGGCGUUGAGGUUAAGAACGAGAAACCAGGCCCGUCCCUGCAUUAAAGCAGGUGAAGCAAUGGCUUUAAGCCACAUAUUAAAAAAAUAAAAUAUAUGCCACAUUUUCUAAUUUUAGUUGCAGGUCAAAUUGUUUCAUAGGAGAAGUUAGUGAUCUUCUUUCCUCUGGUUCGAUUUACACCACAACUCUCUUUGUUAUAAUUGUUUUGGCAAUUUACUAUAAGGGCCACAUUAUUUUUGACAUGCUUUAAGCAUUAAAAAUGUUUGGGACGGCACUGCGAGAAACAUAUGUCUCUUCAACGAGACAAGAUUGAAUAAGACGUGUUCAGCAGGAGUGGGAACAUGGCAUCUCACUAACCACGAAAGAGGACGAAGACCUUGCAGGACCAUCUCGAUGCAAGUCACCAAGUGUUCGACGAAUUGCCUCGCACACACUUUUACCAACAACUUUAUCAUCUUAGCCUUUUCGUUCAGGCUAUCUCUCCUAAUUUGCUAAUCAGCUUUUGUUUGAAACAUGUAUAUAAAUCUACAAAAUGAUGCUCAGGAAAUAAGGUUGGAGAUUUCAGUUACAGACGGAGAUGUGCUGAAGCAAACAUGUAGAUAAAUAAAGAAUUCGUUUUAUAAUGGCAGAUGCAAAUGAUUCUCCUACCAAAUUUAAAUACAUCUUCAGCUGCGGUCUCUUUGAUUGUGUAGAAGAAAGCAUUGGUUCGUUUAUGUAUAUACAAACGGUUGCUGGCAAGUAGUGGACACCAUGAGGCUUGCAAGGGGGAGGUGUCAAACUGAGGCGCUCUCCUAGAUGAUUAACUGAAUCUUACCGAUGCUCUGGUGGCAUACCAAACUGCCGCAAAAGCAGCGGCUCAGAUUCAGAGCGUUUCGGGAUAACACGUUGAAGGCGGCACAGUCAAAGGUUAUCCAGUUUGCCAACAUGGAAGAAGAGGCUAAGAGCAUAUGAUGAAGAUCUAGAAUGCUUUCUGCAAAUGUAUGUGUAGUAAUGUUAAAGCUUCUAUUUGGAUUCACUGUCGUUUCAGACAUGGAAAGUUCAAAGAGAGUUCUUCAAAAUGUGGGGUCAGCAAGUUAGGAUCCAGGUAUGUAGUGAUAUAGAUAUACAUGGACUUAGAAGAAGCGUUAAUGCAACCAACAAGGCAAUGAAAUCGCGGUGGUUGACGUGGUGUCGAAGUGGAUUAUAGAGAGGUGGAGAUACAGAGGCGGUGAUGAUCGAUUUAUAAUGGGGUAGAUGAUUGGGUUUAAGAAGAGUAGUUUUCGCUAAAGUUGAAGCCAUUGUCAAGACUUGGGGAAAGCUGUAUGAAUCUCUCCCAAAAAAUAUCAUCAAUUAGUCCCUUCAUAUCAUAUAAUCAUGACGUUUAUUACUAUUCACGGUUACCUAUUGUAGAUAUUUUUAAAAUAAUGGAUAAAGAGCUA